Molecule: ribosomal RNA, 468 nt
Filed under: uncultured bacterium
Lineage: Bacteria
Description: partial 16S ribosomal RNA
Rfam family: Bacterial small subunit ribosomal RNA
Source: RNAcentral
GACGAACGCUGGCGGCGUGCUUAACACAUGCAAGUCGAACGGAAAGGCCCUGCUUUUGUGGGGUGCUCGAGUGGCGAACGGGUGAGUAACACGUGAGUAACCUGCCCUUGACUUUGGGAUAACUUCAGGAAACUGGGGCUAAUACCGGAUAGGAGCUCCUGCUGCAUGGUGGGGGUUGGAAAGUUUCGGCGGUUGGGGAUGGACUCGCGGCUUAUCAGCUUGUUGGUGGGGUAGUGGCUUACCAAGGCUUUGACGGGUAGCCGGCCUGAGAGGGGGACCGGCCACAUUGGGACUGAGAUACGGCCCAGACUCCUACGGGAGGCAGCAGUGGGGAAUAUUGCACAAUGGGCGGAAGCCUGAUGCAGCAACGCCGCGUGCGGGAUGACGGCCUUCGUGUUGUAAACCGCUUUCGCCUGUGACGAAGCGUGAGUGACGGUAAUGGGUAAAGAAGCACCGGCUAACUACGUG